GAUGAAGAACGCAGCGAAAUGCGAUAAGUAAUGUGAAUUGCAGAAUUCAGUGAAUCAUCGAAUCUUUGAACGCACAUUGCGCCCCUUGGUAUUCCGAGGGGCAUGCCUGUUCGAGCGUCAUUAUAACCCCUCAAGCUCAGCUUGGUGUUGAGGCCUGCUGCACUGGCAGCCCUUAAAAUCAGUGGCGGCGCCAUCUGGCUCUAAGCGUAGUAAUUCUUCUCCCUAUGGAGUCCUGGUGGAUGCUUGCCAUCAACCCCCAAUUUUUCUAUGGUUGACCUCGGAUCAGGUAGGGAUACCCGCUGAACUUAAGCAUAUCAAUAAGCGGAGGA
RNAcentral lists this unclassified non-coding RNA (329 nucleotides) under soil metagenome. Its description in RNAcentral is "partial contains 5.8S ribosomal RNA, internal transcribed spacer 2, and large subunit ribosomal RNA". The stretch from base 1 to 120 matches the Rfam family "5.8S ribosomal RNA", at positions 35 to 154 of the family's 154-position model. The record is from RNAcentral.